Molecule: long non-coding RNA, 204 nt
Filed under: Salvia miltiorrhiza (redroot sage)
Lineage: Eukaryota; Viridiplantae; Streptophyta; Magnoliopsida; Lamiales; Lamiaceae
Description: long non-coding RNA (SMIL_LNC004366)
Source: RNAcentral
AUUAUACAAUUCUAUCUUCAUCAGAAAAUCACAAUGGUGUAAGUGGAACUCAAGUGUGUGCAUAAUGAAAAACUGUGUGUGUGUGUGUGUGUGUGAGAGAGAGAGAGAGAGAGAAGGCACGUACUCAAAUCUCGUUACAUAGAGAAGAGCGUUAAAGAACUUUGAAACUUACAAGAUUGCCCUGCUAAUGUCUAACCAAUUCAG